RNAcentral lists this long non-coding RNA (844 nucleotides) under Sorghum bicolor (sorghum). RNAcentral describes it as "long non-coding RNA (SBIC_LNC001964)". Lineage: Eukaryota; Viridiplantae; Streptophyta; Magnoliopsida; Poales; Poaceae. The record is from RNAcentral.
GCGUUUGUUUCGCUGACUAGGACUGGACUGGAUUCAUGGACCCACGGGUUAGCCACACACAUAGUUUUGGAUCUCGGUGUAAGCAAGGGGGCAGGUAAGACCGAGUGGCCAAUUUUCGGCCCAAAUUCGCUAAAACCGGUCCAAUACUGGUUAAAUUUUGGCCAAACUUUAAUCAAAAUUUACCAUACCACUCAAUACUGAUCAAAACCGGCCGAAAGCGGUCGAUACCAGAGGAGGCCGGUAGGACCGAUUUGACCAGUUUUCGGCCGAAAUUUAGAACUAUAGCCACACCAAGUUUUUUUUUCCUUUGAAUUCGUGAGCCUGACUGAUAGUACUGUUUAAUUUAUUCGAGAGAAAAAUACUGUUAAAUGGUUGACAGAUUCGACAGAUAAACUCUACGGCAAACCAAUUUCCAUUCACUUUAGUUUUCCUUAACCAUAAAUCAAAUUUCUAAAAAAAUAAACUAACAAUUAUUAAAAAAAAACAUCUAUUAAAUUCGCUAUGAAUUGUGUUUUCAUGCAUGGUGCAUGUAUUUGAACUUAUAAAUUCUGAUAUGAUCUCUUUAAAAAAAAUAAAAUUAGAAAGAUUUGACUUGGAACAAACUUAUACGUACCAGGCGAACGCAAGGAGUAGUAGAGACUUAACUCGAGAAGCCAUUUUCCACAUGCGACAUCCGUGCUAGUAAACAUGUCACAGUCUCCUCCAAGUGUCAAAAGAUCGUUGGUCACUAUGAGCAGCGAUGCACAGGGAUGUCUCCCUCACGCGUGUUGAAAUUUGUUCCAUCCCAAAAUAAAUUAAUCUAAGUUAGACUAUCUUAAAUUUAAUAAUUUCAUAUAGAAAAUAG